This 467-nucleotide ribosomal RNA is filed under the name uncultured bacterium. Its description in RNAcentral is "partial 16S ribosomal RNA". It matches the Rfam family "Bacterial small subunit ribosomal RNA", at positions 28 to 507 of the family's 1533-position model. The record is from RNAcentral.
GACGAACGCUGGCGGCGUGCUUAACACAUGCAAGUCGAACGGAAAGGCUCCAGCUUGCUGGAGUACUCGAGUGGCGAACGGGUGAGUAACACGUGGGUAAUCUGCCCUGCACUCUGGGAUAAGCCUGGGAAACUGGGUCUAAUACUGGAUAUGACCUUUCUCCUUAUGGGGUUUGGUGGAAAGUUUUUCGGUGUAGGAUGAGCCCGCGGCCUAUCAGCUUGUUGGUGGGGUUAUGGCCUACCAAGGCGACGACGGGUAGCCGGCCUGAGAGGGUGAGCGGCCACAUUGGGACUGAGAUACGGCCCAGACUCCUACGGGAGGCAGCAGUGGGGAAUAUUGCACAAUGGGCGGAAGCCUGAUGCAGCGACGCCGCGUGAGGGAUGACGGCCUUCGGGUUGUAAACCGCUUUCAGCAGGGACGAAGCGUAAGUGACGGUACCUGCAGAAGAAGCACCGGCUAACUACGUG